RNAcentral lists this ribosomal RNA (253 nucleotides) under uncultured bacterium. RNAcentral's name for it is "partial 16S ribosomal RNA". It matches the Rfam family "Bacterial small subunit ribosomal RNA", at positions 524 to 776 of the family's 1533-position model. The record is from RNAcentral.
UACAGGGGGUGCAAGCGUUGCUCGGAAUCAUUGGGCGUAAAGCGCACGUAGGCGGUCUGUUAUGUCGGAUGUGAAAGCCCUUGGCUCAACUGAGGAAGUGCAUCCGAAACUGGCAGGCUAGAGUACUAAAGAGGGUCGCGGAAUUCCCGGUGUAGAGGUGAAAUUCGUAGAUAUCGGGAGGAACACCGGUGGCGAAGGCGGCGACCUGGGUAGAUACUGACGCUGAGGUGCGAAAGCGUGGGGAGCGAACAGG